UACAACUUACAGACCACAAUGGAUCUACAAAUACACAAAACAUUUAAUAACAGGCAGAAUAUUGGUAAAAUUACAUGUAAUUCUCUCACAUUUCAGGUUCAUGUUUGUUUAGAUUAUUAACAUUUUGUUUGAAAGAAUCAUUUCUAAAUAACAUUUAUUAUGUAAUUUUACUUUUCACAUUAAAACAGAGAAAAAUGCGGAGUUAUAGCUUAUUGUGAAACUAUUUUACUGGUCUGAUCCACUUUAGAUCAUAUUGAACUGUAUGUGGAACCUGAAGUAAAGGGAUUUUAACACCACUGAUUGUUAAUAUCUUCAGUGUAAAUUUUGCAUUUCAAAAUUUCUUCCCAUGGGCCUGAUUGGACCCUUUGGUGGGCUGGUUUUUGCAGACGGGCUGUGUUUGGCACCUGUGCACUAAUGUGUCACAGCACCAAAAUCACAUAAUUAAAGCUGUAGACCAUGACCAUGAUGUGUGAUAGAAGAAGAAUAUUUUAUCAAGGGAGUCUUGUGGAUUUGAUGAGGUCAUAGAUGGGUCUAAAAGCUUCAGUUCCUCAUCAGAAAGGGUUGUCUGAUACAAAGUAAAGUGGGUAAAGUAUUUUAAAGGUCACACAGUUCUAUAAGUGGUAGAAGGGUUCUUGAUAAAUACACAGCAGUUGUUUUUUUGGCUUCUGUGGUCGUAUUCCUGCGUGCAUCUCCACACUGGGUCUAUACUGACCUCUAUCCACUGCUGAUAAUACACAGUCAUAUGGAUCAGUACUUGAUCUUCAUACGUUUUUGACUAUUGCCAUGUUGUAAAAGUUCUAAUGGAUAUUGAAAUGUUGCCCAGAGAGGAUUAGAUGGAUUUGAAUUGAUGGUAAAAUGUGCUGCUCUCUGGUGAUGAACACAGUGAGUCUGUUGGCUGAGGCAACUUUGAAGCUUGUUCCAGACUUUAGAAAUAAGUGAUUCAGAAAAUAGUCUCAACAAAAAGUCAGGAUUUAAUGACAAUUCAAUAACAUUGUUUGUAUAACAGGAAAAAACUCACAGCUGGUUAAUCCUGGAAAAAAUGGACACAUUUGUUGAGUUAAUUCUUGUCUUUAUUAGACACUAGAUUGUUGUUGAACUGAAAACAUCAAAGUAAUUAAAACCUAAAUUCAUUCAUCUGGAUCUGAACAUCAAGCUGCAACAGUUGAGGCAGUUGUACAGGCAAUUUUUUUUAGCAAUUGUUUUCCAAAAAGUCAUUAAUUUGAGAUUCCUGAUCUUAGCCAAAAACCACUGCUAGAGCCAAGUUGUGUUGAUAGUGAGUUUAUAAAACCUCCUAUCAGAUCAGAUGGCUCAGUCCAUGUCUGUCUUAAAGUCUUCAAAGAAGUUGUUCUUGGGCUUUUUGUAACUGUAAAUGUCUUUAACUUCUUCUUCUCCCAGAACAUUGACGUCUUCUCCUCCCCAUCAGCUCUCAAUCUACAGUUCUACGUUUGUUCUUGAACUUAACAUGAUAACAAAAAAAAAAAACCAUCUGACAAAUACUAAAUAGACCUGGUGCUGAGACUAUCUUCUGAAAU
Sphaeramia orbicularis (orbiculate cardinalfish) is the source of this 1532-nucleotide long non-coding RNA. RefSeq lists it as uncharacterized. NCBI's taxonomy places the organism in Eukaryota, Metazoa, Chordata, Actinopteri, Kurtiformes, Apogonidae. The transcript is spliced from 2 exons. The record is from RefSeq and is a predicted model, not a curated record.